AAAAUACUCCCUCCGUCUCAUAUUAAGUGUCGAAAUAUUACAUGUAUCUAGAUGUUUUUUAAGUGUAGAUACAUCCACAUUUGAACAAAUUUGAAACACUUAAUAUGGGACGGAGUGAGUAGUAC
Non-coding RNA from Brachypodium distachyon (stiff brome), 125 nucleotides. The record is from Rfam. Lineage: Eukaryota; Viridiplantae; Streptophyta; Magnoliopsida; Poales; Poaceae.